GGGUUGUGAGGUUAAGCGACUAAGCGUACACGGUGGAUGCCCUGGCAGUCAGAGGCGAUGAAGGACGUGCUAAUCUGCGAUAAGCGUCGGUAAGGUGAUAUGAACCGUUAUAACCGGCGAUUUCCGAAUGGGGAAACCCAGUGUGUUUCGACACACUAUCAUUAACUGAAUCCAUAGGUUAAUGAGGCGAACCGGGGGAACUGAAACAUCUAAGUACCCCGAGGAAAAGAAAUCAACCGAGAUUCCCCCAGUAGCGGCGAGCGAACGGGGAGGAGCCCAGAGCCUGAAUCAGUGUGUGUGUUAGUGGAAGCGUCUGGAAAGGCGCGCGAUACAGGGUGACAGCCCCGUACACAAAAAUGCACAUGCUGUGAGCUCGAUGAGUAGGGCGGGACACGUGGUAUCCUGUCUGAAUAUGGGGGGACCAUCCUCCAAGGCUAAAUACUCCUGACUGACCGAUAGUGAACCAGUACCGUGAGGGAAAGGCGAAAAGAACCCCGGCGAGGGGAGUGAAAAAGAACCUGAAACCGUGUACGUACAAGCAGUGGGAGCACGCUUAGGCGUGUGACUGCGUACCUUUUGUAUAAUGGGUCAGCGACUUAUAUUCUGUAGCAAGGUUAACCGAAUAGGGGAGCCGAAGGGAAACCGAGUCUUAACUGGGCGUUAAGUUGCAGGGUAUAGACCCGAAACCCGGUGAUCUAGCCAUGGGCAGGUUGAAGGUUGGGUAACACUAACUGGAGGACCGAACCGACUAAUGUUGAAAAAUUAGCGGAUGACUUGUGGCUGGGGGUGAAAGGCCAAUCAAACCGGGAGAUAGCUGGUUCUCCCCGAAAGCUAUUUAGGUAGCGCCUCGUGAAUUCAUCUCCGGGGGUAGAGCACUGUUUCGGCAAGGGGGUCAUCCCGACUUACCAACCCGAUGCAAACUGCGAAUACCGGAGAAUGUUAUCACGGGAGACACACGGCGGGUGCUAACGUCCGUCGUGAAGAGGGAAACAACCCAGACCGCCAGCUAAGGUCCCAAAGUCAUGGUUAAGUGGGAAACGAUGUGGGAAGGCCCAGACAGCCAGGAUGUUGGCUUAGAAGCAGCCAUCAUUUAAAGAAAGCGUAAUAGCUCACUGGUCGAGUCGGCCUGCGCGGAAGAUGUAACGGGGCUAAACCAUGCACCGAAGCUGCGGCAGCGACGCUUAUGCGUUGUUGGGUAGGGGAGCGUUCUGUAAGCCUGUGAAGGUGUGCUGUGAGGCAUGCUGGAGGUAUCAGAAGUGCGAAUGCUGACAUAAGUAACGAUAAAGCGGGUGAAAAGCCCGCUCGCCGGAAGACCAAGGGUUCCUGUCCAACGUUAAUCGGGGCAGGGUGAGUCGACCCCUAAGGCGAGGCCGAAAGGCGUAGUCGAUGGGAAACAGGUUAAUAUUCCUGUACUUGGUGUUA
RNAcentral lists this ribosomal RNA (1422 nucleotides) under Escherichia coli. Its description in RNAcentral is "partial 23S ribosomal RNA". It matches the Rfam family "Bacterial large subunit ribosomal RNA", at positions 1 to 1453 of the family's 2925-position model. The record is from RNAcentral. Lineage: Bacteria; Pseudomonadati; Pseudomonadota; Gammaproteobacteria; Enterobacterales; Enterobacteriaceae.